CCUACGGGAGGCUGCAGUGGGGAAUAUUGCACAAUGGGCGCAAGCCUGAUGCAGCCAUGCCGCGUGUGUGAAGAAGGCCUUCGGGUCGUAAAGCACUUUCAGCGGGGAGGAAGGCGGUGAGGUUAAUAACCUCAUCGAUUGACGUUACCCGCAGAAGAAGCAUCGGCUAACUCCGUGCCAGCAGCCGCGGUAAUACGGAGGGUGCAAGCGUUAAUCGGAAUUACUGGGCGUAAAGCGCACGCAGGCGGUCUGUCAAGUCGGAUGUGAAAUCCCCGGGCUCAACCUGGGAACUGCAUUCGAAACUGGCAGGCUAGAGUCUUGUAGAGGGGGGUAGAAUUCCAGGUGUAGCGGUGAAAUGCGUAGAGAUCUGGAGGAAUACCGGUGGCGAAGGCGGCCCCCUGGACAAAGACUGACGCUCAGGUGCGAAAGCGUGGGGAGCAAGCAGGAUUAGAUACCCCAGUAGUC
RNAcentral lists this ribosomal RNA (465 nucleotides) under uncultured Klebsiella sp. Its description in RNAcentral is "bacterial SSU rRNA". It matches the Rfam family "Bacterial small subunit ribosomal RNA", at positions 338 to 795 of the family's 1533-position model. Lineage: Bacteria; Pseudomonadati; Pseudomonadota; Gammaproteobacteria; Enterobacterales; Enterobacteriaceae. The record is from RNAcentral.